This is a long non-coding RNA of Haliotis rubra (blacklip abalone), 144 nucleotides long. RefSeq lists it as uncharacterized. NCBI's taxonomy places the organism in Eukaryota, Metazoa, Mollusca, Gastropoda, Lepetellida, Haliotidae. The transcript has 3 exons. The record is from RefSeq and is a predicted model, not a curated record.
UAAUCUAAUAACUAGAAAGUAAAGGACAAGAGAGAAGGGUAUGCUGUAGUUAAUGAAUGUUCUUGUAUUCAUAUGAUAGGGAAAAACACAAGCCAAGCUUAGUAUAUUGGAAUAAAGGUAAAGCUAUCUCGUACCAGACAAUCC